RNAcentral lists this ribosomal RNA (253 nucleotides) under uncultured bacterium. Its description in RNAcentral is "partial 16S ribosomal RNA". It matches the Rfam family "Bacterial small subunit ribosomal RNA", at positions 524 to 776 of the family's 1533-position model. The record is from RNAcentral.
UACGGAGGGUGCGAGCGUUGUUCGGAAUUACUGGGCGUAAAGGGCGCGUAGGCGGCCUUAUAAGUCAGAUGUGAAAGUCCAUGGCUCAACUGUGGAAGUGCAUUUGAAACUGUGAGGCUUGAGUAUCGGAGGGGAGUGUGGAAUUCCCGGUGUAGAGGUGAAAUUCGUAGAGAUCGGGAGGAACACCGGUGGCGAAGGCGACACUCUGGACGAAUACUGACGCUGAGGCGCGAAAGCGUGGGGAGCAAACAGG